GAGAGAGAGAGAGAGAAUGUGACCGAGUGAAGGAGAGGGACUGACAUGGUCGGCAAGCCAAAUGAGUGUCCAUGUGAAAGAGGACCAUGUGAAAUACUUCAGAAUACUGUUUAUCUGGCUGAUACCCCCGAACUCAGCAAAAGGAGUUCUCACGUCUUGGGCAGACUGCCUGCGUUGCGUGUGAAAUGUCUUCAUCCCAAAAUACGUGACAGUGUCUUGAGCUGGUGUUAACCACAGACCUUGUUCCAGCCAUUUAACCAAAACCCAUUCAAGAAAUCCGUUGAAUUUGGGACGAGGAUGAAACCGGAAGUGUCAAAAUUCCAAAGUGCUAAAACUCAUGUCUGCGUUUUGGCCUACAAAUUUAUGUCAUGCCACCAAGCAUAACCCAAUGGAGGCAUUGCCUCCUCUCAUGUGACUUUACCUCAUCAUUUUCAAUUACCCCGGGCCCUCAACCAAACUCAUUGCAUGAUUUAAGGCAGGAGUUCUCAACUGUGCAUUGUCUGUGCAUUGGCAAAAGCAACGUAUAUGAUGCCUUGGGAUGAG
Pimephales promelas (fathead minnow) is the source of this 543-nucleotide non-coding RNA. Lineage: Eukaryota; Metazoa; Chordata; Actinopteri; Cypriniformes; Leuciscidae. The record is from RefSeq and is a predicted model, not a curated record.